GGGACAUUAAAUAAAUUUUAGCAAAAUUAAGGGACCUCAUAGUAAUUUACUCUAUUAGGUAUUACUUGUUGGCUUCGCCUGAUGCUUGUGGUCGUUUGACUUCACAAAUUCUAAACCUAAGCCGGCCAGGCUCUGAAAACGAGUCUUCAUUAUAUUUCUCUCAUUCUCUCUCGAAUUAAACCUAGUGUUGAACUCAUGGAUCCUCAACCUGAGCCAGUCAGCUACAUCUGUGGAGAUUGUGGCAUGGAGAACACCUUGAAGCCUGGAGAUGUCAUUCAGUGCAGAGAGUGCGGUUACCGUAUUCUCUACAAGAAACGCACUCGCCGAAUUAUUCAGUAUGAGGCACGCUAAAAGCAGGACAAGAUGCAGAGUUUGCAUACGGGGCUUUGUAACAAGAUGCAGACUUUGUAUACAGAGCUUUGUAUUGAAGCAUGCUUUGUCUGAGUGCAGCUAGCAGUUAUAUCUGGGUUUCUGUAAUUUUUAAGAGAUUUAUGUUGAAACUAUCAAUAUGACUGGUUGGUAUAAUUCUCUAUUCUAUAACUAAAAGAGCCAGUGUUGGAUAAUGCAAUUUUGUGUGUGUGGCAUCUCUGAACAA
This 595-nucleotide unclassified non-coding RNA is filed under the name Hevea brasiliensis (rubber tree). Lineage: Eukaryota; Viridiplantae; Streptophyta; Magnoliopsida; Malpighiales; Euphorbiaceae. The record is from RNAcentral.